This 331-nucleotide ribosomal RNA is filed under the name uncultured eukaryote. Its description in RNAcentral is "partial 18S ribosomal RNA". It matches the Rfam family "Eukaryotic small subunit ribosomal RNA", at positions 1470 to 1797 of the family's 1831-position model. The record is from RNAcentral.
CCCUUAGAUGUUCUGGGCCGCACGCGCGCUACACUGAUGCAUUCAACGAGUCUAAAACCUGGUCUGAUAGGGCUGGGUAAUCUUUUGAAAGUGCAUCGUGAUUGGGAUAGAUGAUUGCAAUUCUUCAUCUUCAACGAGGAAUGCCUAGUAAACGCAAGUCAUCAGCUUGCAUUGAUUACGUCCCUGCCCUUUGUACACACCGCCCGUCGCUCCUACCGAUUGAAUGAUCCGAUGAAUACCAUGGAUUGAGAGUACGAAUGGGUUCGCUCAUUUCUGCUGCUCGAGAAGUGGAGUAAAUCUUAUCAUUUAGAGGAAGGAGAAGUCGUAACAA